GAUGAACGCUGACAGAAUGCUUAACACAUGCAAGUCGAUGGGGAAGUGGUGCUUGCACCAUGGCAACCAUGGCGGCCGGGUGAGUAACGCGUAAGGGACUUACCUGCAGGACUGGGAUAACAGGGGGAAACUCCUGACAAGACCGGAUAAUGUCAUGGAGCUGCAUGGCUUUAUGAUGAAAGGAGACGCCUGCGGAGAGCCUUGCGUCCUAUUAGCUAGUUGGUGAGGUAAUGGCUCACCAAGGCGAAGAUAGGUAGCCGGCCUGAGAGGGUGGACGGCCACAAGGGGACUGAGAUACGGCACUUACUCCUACGGGAGGCAGCAGUGGGGAAUAUUGGACAAUGGGGGCAACCCUGAUCCAGCAAUUCUGUGUGCACGAAGAAGGUUUUCGGAUUGUAAAGUGCUUUCAGCAGGGAAGAAGUAAGUGACGGUACCUGCAGAAGAAGCGACGGCUAAAUACGUG
This 463-nucleotide ribosomal RNA is filed under the name uncultured bacterium. RNAcentral's name for it is "partial 16S ribosomal RNA". It matches the Rfam family "Bacterial small subunit ribosomal RNA", at positions 28 to 507 of the family's 1533-position model. The record is from RNAcentral.